GAUACCCUGGUAGUCCACACUGUAAACGAUGAUAACUAGGUGUGGCCGUUCUGACCCCUUCCGUGCCGCAGCUAACGCAAUAAGUUAUCCACCUGGGGAGUACGACCGCAAGGUUGAAACUCAAAGGAAUUGACGGGGACCCGCACAAGCAGUGGAUUAUGUGGUUUAAUUCGAAGCAACGCGAAGAACCUUACCAGCACUUGACAUCCGACUAACGAAGUAGAGAUACAUUAGGUGCCCUUCGGGGAAAGUCGAGACAGGUGGUGCAUGGUUGUCGUCAGCUCGUGUCGUGAGAUGUUGGGUUAAGUCCCGCAACGAGCGCAACCCCUGCCAUUAGUUGCUACGCAAGAGCACUCUAAUGGGACCGCUACCGACAAGGUGGAGGAAGGUGGGGACGACGUCAAAUCAUCAUGCCCCUUAUGUGCUGGGCUACACACGUAAUACAAUGGCCAUCAACAGAGAGAAGCAAAACCGCGAGGUGGAGCAAAACUUCAAAAAUGGUCUCAGUUCGGACUGUAGGCUGCAACUCGCCUACACGAAGUUGGAAUUGCUAGUAAUCGUGGAUCAGCAUGCCACGGUGAAUACGUUCCCGGGUCUUGUACACACCGCCCGUCACACCAUGGGAGUCGGUAACACCCGAAGUCAGUAGUCUAACCGCAAGGAGGACGCUGCCGA
This 675-nucleotide ribosomal RNA is filed under the name uncultured bacterium. RNAcentral's name for it is "bacterial SSU rRNA". It matches the Rfam family "Bacterial small subunit ribosomal RNA", at positions 781 to 1459 of the family's 1533-position model. The record is from RNAcentral.